UGAAUUUUAAAUUUAUUCAAAAAAGCCUUCUUACAACUUGUGUGGACCUAGAAUUAUACUUAGCCCUCAAACUUCAAACCUCAAAAUUCAAAAAACAAGCAAAUUUGCAUUAACUACACUCCUCUUGUUUGGAACCAAUAUUGGAGAGCAUUCUCCAUGCCUCUCCCGCCCUUCAUUCUAAUCAAACUAAGCUUGUUUCUGGUCCCUUUUUCAGU
RNAcentral lists this long non-coding RNA (215 nucleotides) under Brassica napus (rape). RNAcentral's name for it is "long non-coding RNA (BNAP_LNC014393)". Lineage: Eukaryota; Viridiplantae; Streptophyta; Magnoliopsida; Brassicales; Brassicaceae. The record is from RNAcentral.